UCUUGGCCUUCUCACGCUCGAUGGAUCGAGAAGACUUGAGUGACCUGGGACCAGUUGCUUCCUGGCCAGUCGAAAGAUCGAGGACAAAGUGCCCUCGCCAACCAAGGUACAAGUGAUUUGCGUGGCUCCCAAGGCCUGAUCUUUCUUCCUCGCCCUCUUUUGCUUGCUCGCAGAGUGAAGGCAAGUUCGCGGGAUCCAUCUUCAUAAACUGGCAGAUGUUGGCAAAGACUGCCGCCGUCAUGUAAGCAUCAUAGCCGGCCUCGUGCUUCAUCUCUGUCCCAUCGUACCUGCAAAGGCUGGAGCUUCCAAACUCGAUCUGGACUUUGUUUGGCAGCUUUCCCACGUUUGAGAACACCGGGCCUAAGGUUGUGCCGCCUUUCCCAAGCAUUUCUUGAGCCGCCGAGUCCGCUUUCAGCAAGUACUUGGUGUCGAAGAUGCAAGGGAAAUGCUGGUGGAUGGACGAGCAGAAUUCGGAGCAGCUCAAAGGAAGAGUUGCGAAGAAUUUGUUGUAAAUAUGAGCAAUAUCUGGAGAACAGUGUUGUAAGUUUUGGCCAAGAAAUGAUUGAAAGGUUGGUUACCAAGAAAGCAAUUGUGUCCGACCACUGGCUUCUUCGACUCCACUAGAGCAUCAAUAAGUUGACGAAAUCCUAUUGCAUCCAUGAUCUGGUUUUCCAAUCUCGACCUUCUAUCCUUUUCCCAUUGACCC
This 706-nucleotide long non-coding RNA is filed under the name Selaginella moellendorffii. RNAcentral's name for it is "long non-coding RNA (SMOE_LNC001736)". The record is from RNAcentral. Lineage: Eukaryota; Viridiplantae; Streptophyta; Lycopodiopsida; Selaginellales; Selaginellaceae.